GGGUUGUGAGGUUAAGCGACUAAGCGUACACGGUGGAUGCCCUGGCAGUCAGAGGCGAUGAAGGACGUGCUAAUCUGCGAUAAGCGUCGGUAAGGUGAUAUGAACCGUUAUAACCGGCGAUUUCCGAAUGGGGAAACCCAGUGUGAUUCGUCACACUAUCAUUAACUGAAUCCAUAGGUUAAUGAGGCGAACCGGGGGAACUGAAACAUCUAAGUACCCCGAGGAAAAGAAAUCAACCGAGAUUCCCCCAGUAGCGGCGAGCGAACGGGGAGCAGCCCAGAGCCUGAAUCAGUGUGUGUGUUAGUGGAAGCGUCUGGAAAGGCGCGCGAUACAGGGUGACAGCCCCGUACACAAAAAUGCACAUACUGUGAGCUCGAUGAGUAGGGCGGGACACGUGGUAUCCUGUCUGAAUAUGGGGGGACCAUCCUCCAAGGCUAAAUACUCCUGACUGACCGAUAGUGAACCAGUACCGUGAGGGAAAGGCGAAAAGAACCCCGGCGAGGGGAGUGAAAAAGAACCUGAAACCGUGUACGUACAAGCAGUGGGAGCCUCUUUUAUGGGGUGACUGCGUACCUUUUGUAUAAUGGGUCAGCGACUUAUAUUCUGUAGCAAGGUUAACCGAAUAGGGGAGCCGAAGGGAAACCGAGUCUUAACUGGGCGUUAAGUUGCAGGGUAUAGACCCGAAACCCGGUGAUCUAGCCAUGGGCAGGUUGAAGGUUGGGUAACACUAACUGGAGGACCGAACCGACUAAUGUUGAAAAAUUAGCGGAUGACUUGUGGCUGGGGGUGAAAGGCCAAUCAAACCGGGAGAUAGCUGGUUCUCCCCGAAAGCUAUUUAGGUAGCGCCUCGUGAAUUCAUCUCCGGGGGUAGAGCACUGUUUCGGCAAGGGGGUCAUCCCGACUUACCAACCCGAUGCAAACUGCGAAUACCGGAGAAUGUUAUCACGGGAGACACACGGCGGGUGCUAACGUCCGUCGUGAAGAGGGAAACAACCCAGACCGCCAGCUAAGGUCCCAAAGUCAUGGUUAAGUGGGAAACGAUGUGGGAAGGCCCAGACAGCCAGGAUGUUGGCUUAGAAGCAGCCAUCAUUUAAAGAAAGCGUAAUAGCUCACUGGUCGAGUCGGCCUGCGCGGAAGAUGUAACGGGGCUAAACCAUGCACCGAAGCUGCGGCAGCGACACUGUGUGUUGUUGGGUAGGGGAGCGUUCUGUAAGCCUGUGAAGGUGUGCUGUGAGGCAUGCUGGAGGUAUCAGAAGUGCGAAUGCUGACAUAAGUAACGAUAAAGCGGGUGAAAAGCCCGCUCGCCGGAAGACCAAGGGUUCCUGUCCAACGUUAAUCGGGGCAGGGUGAGUCGACCCCUAAGGCGAGGCCGAAAGGCGUAGUCGAUGGGAAACAGGUUAAUAUUCCUGUACUUGGUGUUACUGCGAAGGGGGGACGGAGAAGGCUAUGUUGGCCGGGCGACGGUUGUCCCGGUUUAAGCGUGUAGGCUGGUUUUCCAGGCAAAUCCGGAAAAUCAAGGCUGAGGCGUGAUGACGAGGCACUACGGUGCUGAAGCAACAAAUGCCCUGCUUCCAGGAAAAGCCUCUAAGCAUCAGGUAACAUCAAAUCGUACCCCAAACCGACACAGGUGGUCAGGUAGAGAAUACCAAGGCGCUUGAGAGAACUCGGGUGAAGGAACUAGGCAAAAUGGUGCCGUAACUUCGGGAGAAGGCACGCUGAUAUGUAGGUGAAGUCCCUCGCGGAUGGAGCUGAAAUCAGUCGAAGAUACCAGCUGGCUGCAACUGUUUAUUAAAAACACAGCACUGUGCAAACACGAAAGUGGACGUAUACGGUGUGACGCCUGCCCGGUGCCGGAAGGUUAAUUGAUGGGGUCAGCGCAAGCGAAGCUCUUGAUCGAAGCCCCGGUAAACGGCGGCCGUAACUAUAACGGUCCUAAGGUAGCGAAAUUCCUUGUCGGGUAAGUUCCGACCUGCACGAAUGGCGUAAUGAUGGCCAGGCUGUCUCCACCCGAGACUCAGUGAAAUUGAACUCGCUGUGAAGAUGCAGUGUACCCGCGGCAAGACGGAAAGACCCCGUGAACCUUUACUAUAGCUUGACACUGAACAUUGAGCCUUGAUGUGUAGGAUAGGUGGGAGGCUUUGAAGUGUGGACGCCAGUCUGCAUGGAGCCGACCUUGAAAUACCACCCUUUAAUGUUUGAUGUUCUAACGUGGACCCGUGAUCCGGGUUGCGGACAGUGUCUGGUGGGUAGUUUGACUGGGGCGGUCUCCUCCUAAAGAGUAACGGAGGAGCACGAAGGUUGGCUAAUCCUGGUCGGACAUCAGGAGGUUAGUGCAAUGGCAUAAGCCAGCUUGACUGCGAGCGUGACGGCGCGAGCAGGUGCGAAAGCAGGUCAUAGUGAUCCGGUGGUUCUGAAUGGAAGGGCCAUCGCUCAACGGAUAAAAGGUACUCCGGGGAUAACAGGCUGAUACCGCCCAAGAGUUCAUAUCGACGGCGGUGUUUGGCACCUCGAUGUCGGCUCAUCACAUCCUGGGGCUGAAGUAGGUCCCAAGGGUAUGGCUGUUCGCCAUUUAAAGUGGUACGCGAGCUGGGUUUAGAACGUCGUGAGACAGUUCGGUCCCUAUCUGCCGUGGGCGCUGGAGAACUGAGGGGGGCUGCUCCUAGUACGAGAGGACCGGAGUGGACGCAUCACUGGUGUUCGGGUUGUCAUGCCAAUGGCACUGCCCGGUAGCUAAAUGCGGAAGAGAUAAGUGCUGAAAGCAUCUAAGCACGAAACUUGCCCCGAGAUGAGUUCUCCCUGACCCUUUAAGGGUCCUGAAGGAACGUUGAAGACGACGACGUUGAUAGGCCGGGUGUGUAAGCGCAGCGAUGCGUUGAGCUAACCGGUACUAAUGAACCGUGAGGCUUAACCUUACAACGCCGAAGGUGUUU
Molecule: ribosomal RNA, 2930 nt
Filed under: Escherichia coli
Lineage: Bacteria; Pseudomonadati; Pseudomonadota; Gammaproteobacteria; Enterobacterales; Enterobacteriaceae
Also listed under: 2 other names
Description: bacterial LSU rRNA
Rfam family: Bacterial large subunit ribosomal RNA
Source: RNAcentral